Molecule: ribosomal RNA, 253 nt
Filed under: uncultured bacterium
Lineage: Bacteria
Description: partial 16S ribosomal RNA
Rfam family: Bacterial small subunit ribosomal RNA
Source: RNAcentral
UACGGGGGGGGCAAGCGUUGUUCGGAAUUACUGGGCGUAAAGGGCUCGUAGGCGGCCAACUAAGUCAGACGUGAAAUCCCUCGGCUUAACCGGGGAACUGCAUCUGAUACUGGAUGGCUUGAGUUCGGGGGAGGGAUGCGGAAUUCCAGGUGUAGCGGUGAAAUGCGUAGAUAUCUGGAGGAACGCCGGUGGCGAAAGCGGCGUACUGGACCUCUUCUGACGCUGAGGCGCGAAAGCUAGGGGAGCAAACGGG